Long non-coding RNA from Sceloporus undulatus (fence lizard), 699 nucleotides. RefSeq lists it as uncharacterized. The record is from RefSeq and is a predicted model, not a curated record. Lineage: Eukaryota; Metazoa; Chordata; Lepidosauria; Squamata; Phrynosomatidae. The transcript has 4 exons.
GGGCUACAUAAAUAGAUAUGUUUGCCCAAAAUAUGGAGUUUGGAAGAUACUGCUCCAUUAAACGGGUCUGAAUGAGUGGCACAUGGAGACGUCCCCGCAUGUGUCUUUCUGUAGCAUCAACCUGGCCCUAUUUCUUUCAUGGUCUUUUCCUGCCCCAUUUUAGGGUCCCAGAUCCCCAGAGGACCUCUGCUCACUUGGAGGACCGUCCUCAGGAGGUUGGCCUGUGGUACUUUGCCUAUUAUCCAGUACUAGAGGGCUGUCAUUAUCUCUCCAAUAAGUUUUCCAAUUUGUCCAGAGAAGCAAAGAGGCAUGCGGCAGACACUGUUGCGCGGAAAUAUCUGCAGGACAUGUUGGAGCAUUUCCUGGAAUUGUCUGACCCGCUCUGUGACACUCUGAUGGAUGCGGUCCUGUCGUCAGCUGUGACUUAGAGGCCUGUCUCAAACACUGCCUGGGCAAAAUGAAUGCAGGCUCAUGGCACAUUGAAGACACUCAGGAGCAGCUAUUGUCUAAGGGAAAUAAUUGACACCGUCGCAACUCUUCUGAGUCUGGACCUGGUCAGCCAGAUGACUGCCAAGCUGCCCCUGGAAUGAAGGCUCUGCCUUCCAUCACGGUGAGUUUCAGAUCUCUCUGCCUGCCUCUGUAUGGGGGAAGGAAUUCCCUUGGAAAGGGAAGAUGCCCGAACCAAAAGGAUCUCUGCUU